GGAGACCUAGCUCAGUGGCAGAGCGUGGGAUGGGAGGGCGCCCUUCAUCCAUCCUUGGUCAGUGGUUCGAAUCCGCUGGUCUCCA
Molecule: transfer RNA, 85 nt
Filed under: Arthrobacter sp. BA34(2011)
Lineage: Bacteria; Bacillati; Actinomycetota; Actinomycetes; Micrococcales; Micrococcaceae
Also listed under: 1 other name
Description: tRNA-Pro
Rfam family: tRNA
About the family: Transfer RNA (tRNA) molecules are approximately 80 nucleotides in length.
Source: RNAcentral